Non-coding RNA from Vicugna pacos (alpaca), 1929 nucleotides. The record is from RefSeq and is a predicted model, not a curated record. NCBI's taxonomy places the organism in Eukaryota, Metazoa, Chordata, Mammalia, Artiodactyla, Camelidae.
CAGCAAAAAAGUGAUAAAAGGGCCAAGCUGGUGCAAGUUGAUGGAUUACAUAAAUAAAUAUUCAAACUACAGCCUUUCUCUACCAGGAGACGUGUUAAGUAAGCAUAUAGGGAGAGGCUGUAAGCAAAGCGGUAGGAAGUCAAGGGCCAUGGAAAACUUCCUGACUUUUGGGUCAGGAUCAGAUACUGGUUAAUCAAGGAGGGCUUCCAGGAGGAGGUUCUGGGGCUUCCGGGAGUCUCCAAUGAGGCUAAGUUGCUCUCCUUUUUUCAUCCCUUUCUCAACAAUCAACUCUUCUCAGACUAAGGGAUACAAGAUGGGGUCGGACUCUGUGGGAGAGUGUAUCGUGUCAGCUCCCGAGAUCGUUCACGAUCCGAAGCAUGGUCCCUUUAAGGCAUCGAAACUCAGUGAACGUUCUACCGCUGGCCUCGCGGCCUUCCCGAGGCGCGCUGACGUCACCUUUCGGGGAAGCGGCUGACGUCAGCGCGUCCUCGCAGGGUGGGGGCCGGGCCGUGACUCACCCGCGCCGUGCCACUGGCCCGGCUCCACCGAGUGCACGUGAGCGCGUCCGCGCUCGUUGCUAAUUUUAGCUCCGGCGGCCCGGGUGGGGUCCGGCGAGGCGCUCCAUCCCGAGUCCCGGGAGAAUGAAGGGGACCUUCCAGAAAUGAGAUAAAAGCUUCGUAUUAAAGAAAGCAGUGCCAGACACCUUGUGAAAUCGACACUCUCCCGUUCUUUGGAGGGGAAAAGUUCUGGAAAGAAGCACUGUCAGCGUAAAGUGAACUGCAGUUUUGACUUUGCAGACUGGUCUGCCGUGUCACAGUGACCUGCAUUUUGUUCUUGGUGUGACAUCCUCAGGAUUCUCUGGGUUUGUCUCCCUAGGCAGCCUAUAAAAAAAAAUGUUCAGGGAAACUUUGACCUUGUUAGGUGAAGGGUGUUAGACGUUACUAAAGAGUAUUAAAUAUAGUGAAAAACUGGGGAUGUCAAAUGGUAGUAUGGGAACGUUUGCUAAUUGUUGGAUUAUUCAUAAUUUGUAUUACAAAUGUUUGAAAGCUAUAACCUUAAAAAAACUUUUCAUAUGCCCUUUUCUUAGAAAGAAAUGAUGGAAAGUUAGGUGUGGAGUAAAGGUAGCUUUGGGGAUUAUAACAUGAAUGAAUGAAUGACAGAAAUCUAAAUCCAAAUGUGUAAUUUUCAUUUGUUUUCCAAAAAUACCACAUUGGCCUUGGUAAAUUGGAAAUUUUUUCAAAUAUAAAUAUGGAAACUGCAAGUGUUUAGGGCUCUAUUCCCCAUUCAGUACCCAUUUUAACACAGUUAAAAAGGACUGACAGUUUACAGUCUAACAAUUGAAUACAUCCAGAGGUUUGAGUACUGUUUUACAGUGUUCAUGUAGCAACAGAAGUCUCUUUGUCCUAAUUUUGGACAGUUGCUAGGGCAUAUUCCUCAAUGUAAUGCCUAUUUUGGGAGAGACUUAAAUUGAGCAGGUGUGAACAAUGAUGAAUCAUGUUCGCAAACUGAGCUAAUUUCCCUUUGUAUGGGAUAUCAUUGUGUGUGUAUAUAAUGUAUAAGAUCUUGAACAUAAAGUCCUCAGGUUCAGAAAUUAAGGUUUUUAGUCCGGAAAGUGAGUUUUUGCUUUAAUAAUACUUAACCUUGGAAUGGGCCGCCUGCAUCCUGAAGACAGCCUGUUAGUGUUUCUAUGAAGUCUUCCCUGCCCCCAAGUUGGACCUGCUCUCUUUGAGUCACAUCUGUUACUCAGUUAUUGUUCACUGUGUUGUGAUCGUUUAGGUGUCUGUGUCUCCCACUAGACUAACCUCUUGGGAUGUGGAUGAGUGUCUGUCUUUGUAUCUCUGGCAUCUAGAGUAGUGCUAGCAUGCAGUAAGAUCUACAUUUUUUGGAGUGUUUUGUUUCAUUGAAUAAAUGUGGGUUUUCCAGAUUGCA